UGCGUAGUCGGAUUAAUAAGUCAGUGGUGAAAUCUCUCGGCUCAACCGGGAAACUGCCAUUGAUACUGUUAGUCUUGAGUUCGGUUGAGGUAGGCGGAAUGUGUAAUGUAGCGGUGAAAUGCUUAGAUAUUACACAGAACACCAAUUGCGUAGGCAGCUUACUAGACCGACACUGACGCUGAGGCACGAAAGCGUGGGUAGCGAACAGGAUUAGAUACCCUGGUAGUCC
Molecule: ribosomal RNA, 229 nt
Filed under: uncultured bacterium
Lineage: Bacteria
Description: partial 16S ribosomal RNA
Rfam family: Bacterial small subunit ribosomal RNA
Source: RNAcentral